UGACUAUUAACAGAAACGUAAGAAGAUAACUGUAGAGGUUCUAGGUCGCUGUUGACGAUGGAAUACGACACUCUGCCGUUUUCCUCUAGGUCUAAGUCAGUGGCUGAGACACACGCUAUAGAUACUCCGGAGGGGUUAUUUUCGGGGACGUAAACUACAUAAGAAGGUUGGAGGAAAACUGGGGGAUUGUCAUUGACGUCUGUAAUUUGCAAGGUCCUCCCUAUCUAUUCUGUCUGCCGUGACUAAGCUGCCGCUUCUGACAUUCAGGGCGAAAUGCUGCAUCUUACCUCUCGAAAUUAUGCGGGCUCCACCCUCUGACAGUGCCCGAGGGUCCAACCCCAGGUCCUUCGAGAUGUCGCCCACGAAAAAUCCCUUCUCCAUUUCCUCGGGUAUCGAGUAGCGGAUCUGUCCGGAACCGACGUCCCACAACGUUCCCAGAAGAAAGCAAAACAGGACUCCCCCACUGCAGUUCUGCCGUAUCCUCCGAAUCGCCAUUACUUUCUCGCUAAGAAAUUUUCUCUUCAGCCUCUGUACGAAUGAACUCUUGUAUUUCCUGAGUCUCAAAGAAUAACAUUAACCAGAAUCCUAAAACCAAACAGCUUGUUUUCUUGGUUUCUGUACAGCUUCUGAAGGUGCAAGCUUCUGGGGCUUUAUGUAGUUUGAACUGCAGAGGGCUGGGCGGGGGAUCUGGCUGCUUUUCUCAUUUUUCUCCCUGGCUGGUCAACAGCGGCGCCCAGAGUCCUAACUAAUUAUUACACAACCUCUAAGUAAAAGUUGCACAAUUUUUACAAAAGGUUUUUAUUCCUGAUAUUUCUCCUUUCUUGGAAACAAAUCAUAUCUUGAAACUUCAUUUCUGUUAUUUUACGAAAGACUUGUUGACAGUGUCUACAAACAUAACACAUAAAUGUGUGUGACUCUAUACAUAUAUGGAUAUAUGUGUAUCUCUCUGUCUGUCUCUUUGUCUGUCUGUCUGUCUCUGUAACUAGAUGAGUGAUGUUAAUGUCACGUUUCCAUUUUUUAUUAAGCUGUCUUACUCCACCACUUUUCCACUCCACCACACACAAUAAUAUUCUUGCAAAAGAGAUUUCUAGGAGGUGAAGCUCAAGAUCAUUAUACUUCAUGAACUAGAGAAUGAAUGACUUAAAAUGAGUUUUUUAUUACUACCAAAU
This 1169-nucleotide long non-coding RNA is filed under the name Sarcophilus harrisii (Tasmanian devil). RNAcentral describes it as "lncRNA (ENSSHAG00000032304.1)". The record is from RNAcentral. Lineage: Eukaryota; Metazoa; Chordata; Mammalia; Dasyuromorphia; Dasyuridae.